RNAcentral lists this long non-coding RNA (640 nucleotides) under Ananas comosus (pineapple). RNAcentral describes it as "long non-coding RNA (ACOM_LNC016185)". The record is from RNAcentral. Lineage: Eukaryota; Viridiplantae; Streptophyta; Magnoliopsida; Poales; Bromeliaceae.
GGAAAACUUCAAAUACCAGGUUUCACACUUUCUCACUUUAGUAUCAUGUGGUUUAAAGUGUAUCAAUUUAGUGUCCUGUGAUUUCAUUUUUAUUUUUUUAUUAUCGAUUCCACUAAUUUUUUUCGUUAAAUCAAUGACAAAAUUAAAAUUAAAGGAUACUAAAGUGAAUAUUCGAUAAACCUAGAUGGGGUAUCUGAAGUUUUUUGUAUAUAAUUUAACGAAAUAUUAACAGAAAAGCUGACGAAAAGAUAAAAAUGAAAUCAGAUGAAAUAUUAACAGAAAAGCUGACGAAAAGAUAAAAAUGAAAUCAGAUGGUACUAACUUGAUACAUUUUAAACCACACGGUACUAAAGUAAGAAAGCGCGUAACCACAUGGGUGAUUUUUGAAGUUUACCUUUUAUUUAAAACGCGUAACCACAUGGGUGAUUUUUGAAGUUUACCUUUUAUUUAAAUGGUUAAUUACAUGUAGCAGCUCUUUGUAAACAUACCGAAUAGCUAGCAAAUAUAUCUCUAUAAAGUUUAAUUUUUUAUAUUUAUUCUUGUAAAAAUUUUAAAUUUUCAAAUAUAUCCAUAUUGUUAGGAUCCGUAAGAAAAAUAUAGUUAAUCAUAGAUAAAAUACUUAAUUCUGAUUAGUGAAUAA